UACUCUGUGCUAGGGUGUUCCCGUUUGUUUUCUGCUCGGGCAAUCGGGAAGCCGCGAAGCCUAACCUAGGUCGGGCGUUGGUGAGAGAAUUCGGGGCAGUUUUCUGACUUCCUGCUUGGCCCUCGAAUCGUGGACCCACUAUUUCACAUAAAAGAGCACAACCAUCGAAUCCCGAAAGAGAUGUGUGUGGAGGCGGACGCAGGAUUCCAGAGUAUCAGAGCUGGAACUGACCUCGUGAUGUCUGACCCCUACACUUCAAAUGAGACAAGAGGUCCCAAAUCCAAAUCCAUCCCCAGCUCUCCUAGAAGAUGCAAAUCUGAUCCUGUCUAUAUGGAAUGAUUCAGCAAUUCCCCAGGACUUUCGGGAUGAAGCUUAGAUACCAGCUCUGGCUCCUGUUGGAUGCUUUGAUGCCCUGUGCCUCCACACCUUUGCACAGGAGAUGAAGAUUUUGAUUCUCUUACUGCCUCUUCUCCUCCCCCACCCCCAUUAUGUUUAUAACACAAUUUGUGGCUAACUCCAUGUUCAGUGAUUUCAUUAUUGACUUUGAAAAUAGUUUACUUUUGAGG
This is a long non-coding RNA of Rhinolophus ferrumequinum (greater horseshoe bat), 566 nucleotides long. RefSeq lists it as uncharacterized. The transcript has 3 exons. NCBI's taxonomy places the organism in Eukaryota, Metazoa, Chordata, Mammalia, Chiroptera, Rhinolophidae. The record is from RefSeq and is a predicted model, not a curated record.